GCCGGGGAACUUCUGGAAUAAUGCGGUCUGAACCAGGUCAGGACAGGAAUGUAGCAGCCUUUAAGACUAUCCUUAUGCUAGGAGCACUCUCCGGCAUU
This 98-nucleotide signal recognition particle RNA is filed under the name Chlamydiia bacterium. RNAcentral describes it as "signal recognition particle sRNA small type". It matches the Rfam family "Bacterial small signal recognition particle RNA". Rfam says of the family: The signal recognition particle (SRP) is a universally conserved ribonucleoprotein involved in the co-translational targeting of proteins to membranes. Archaeal SRP consists of a 7S RNA and homologues of the eukaryotic SRP19 and SRP54 proteins. The record is from RNAcentral. Lineage: Bacteria; Pseudomonadati; Chlamydiota; Chlamydiia.